Molecule: ribosomal RNA, 809 nt
Filed under: Streptomyces sp.
Lineage: Bacteria; Bacillati; Actinomycetota; Actinomycetes; Kitasatosporales; Streptomycetaceae
Description: bacterial SSU rRNA
Rfam family: Bacterial small subunit ribosomal RNA
Source: RNAcentral
CGAACGAUGAACCUCCUUCGGGAGGGGAUUAGUGGCGAACGGGUGAGUAACACGUGGGCAAUCUGCCCUGCACUCUGGGACAAGCCCUGGAAACGGGGUCUAAUACCGGAUACUGAUCAUCUUGGGCAUCCUUGGUGAUCGAAAGCUCCGGCGGUGCAGGAUGAGCCCGCGGCCUAUCAGCUUGUUGGUGAGGUAAUGGCUCACCAAGGCGACGACGGGUAGCCGGCCUGAGAGGGCGACCGGCCACACUGGGACUGAGACACGGCCCAGACUCCUACGGGAGGCAGCAGUGGGGAAUAUUGCACAAUGGGCGAAAGCCUGAUGCAGCGACGCCGCGUGAGGGAUGACGGCCUUCGGGUUGUAAACCUCUUUCAGCAGGGAAGAAGCGAAAGUGACGGUACCUGCAGAAGAAGCGCCGGCUAACUACGUGCCAGCAGCCGCGGUAAUACGUAGGGCGCGAGCGUUGUCCGGAAUUAUUGGGCGUAAAGAGCUCGUAGGCGGCUUGUCGCGUCGGUUGUGAAAGCCCGGGGCUUAACCCCGGGUCUGCAGUCGAUACGGGCAGGCUAGAGUUCGGUAGGGGAGAUCGGAAUUCCUGGUGUAGCGGUGAAAUGCGCAGAUAUCAGGAGGAACACCGGUGGCGAAGGCGGAUCUCUGGGCCGAUACUGACGCUGAGGAGCGAAAGCGUGGGGAGCGAACAGGAUUAGAUACCCUGGUAGUCCACGCCGUAAACGGUGGGCACUAGGUGUGGGCGACAUUCCACGUCGUCCGUGCCGCAGCUAACGCAUUAAGUGCCCCGCCUGGGGAGUACG